GACGAACGCUGGCGGCGUGCUUAACACAUGCAAGUCGAACGGAAAGGCCCUGCUUUUGUGGGGUGCUCGAGUGGCGAACGGGUGAGUAACACGUGAGUAACCUGCCCUUGACUUUGGGAUAACUUCAGGAAACUGGGGCUAAUACCGGAUAGGAGCUCCUGCUGCAUGGUGGGGGUUGGAAAGUUUCGGCGGUUGGGGAUGGACUCGCGGCUUAUCAGCUUGUUGGUGGGGUAGUGGCUUACCAAGGCUUUGACGGGUAGCCGGCCUGAGAGGGUGACCGGCCACAUUGGGACUGGGAUGCGGCCCAGACUCCUACGGGAGGCAGCGGUGGGGAAGAUUGCACAAUGGGAGGAAGCCUGAUGCAGCAACGCCGCGUGCGGGAUGACGGCCUUCGGGUUGUAAACCGCUUUCGCAUGUGACGAAGCGUGAGUGACGGUAAUGGGUAAAGAAGCACCGGCUAACUACGUG
RNAcentral lists this ribosomal RNA (468 nucleotides) under uncultured bacterium. Its description in RNAcentral is "partial 16S ribosomal RNA". It matches the Rfam family "Bacterial small subunit ribosomal RNA", at positions 28 to 507 of the family's 1533-position model. The record is from RNAcentral.